ACUUUGAUAGCUUAAAAAAGAGUGAGGCAUUGAAGCUGCCUAGGUGGGCUUAGCCCUCGAAGUG
This 64-nucleotide transfer RNA is filed under the name Laternula truncata. RNAcentral's name for it is "tRNA-Phe". Lineage: Eukaryota; Metazoa; Mollusca; Bivalvia; Laternulidae. The record is from RNAcentral.